CCUAAUUUUUCUACGUCCCUCUCCCUUUUUUUCUUCGUCCCUCUUCCUCUUCAUCUCCCUUUUUUCUUCAUUUUGUUCUCUAUUCAUCUCCCAACUUCAUAAUUGACUGCAAAUCUUCAUAAUCAAACCACAAAGCAAGAAAGAGAUUGAAAAUUUAGGAGUUGGGAGCGGGUUGCAUGUGCGAUUGGCUCGAAAGUGGGAGAUGGAGAAGGUCUGCAAUCAAGGAGUUUCAUGUUUUCUGGGUUGGAUCUGAAUUUGAAAAAUGGAACGACUGCAUUUUUUUUUUUGUUUUGAAUUUUGCGGGAUAUGGGUUUGAAAAUGGUUGUGGAAGCGAGGAAGAAGAUGGAGCAGGGCAAGGAGGGAGCGAUAUGUGACAAGCAUGACGAGCGACGUUGGGUCUUGGACGACUAACUCUCUCAUGAUUUUCUCUCUAUUAGAAGAGGGCUUACGAAUCUGGCCGAAAUUGGGGAUCCUCGUUAAGAACUCGUAGCGAGGUGGUUGAUCCGAGCGAGUCCCACCUAAGCUCAUUAAACUUAAUCCUGGUGCAGACCAAACAAGGGACUACAGUCUAGUCUAGUCCAGUCCUCCCUAAUCCGGUCAAACAAACGGGCCCUUAGGUUCUCUUGUGAAAGUGAUUGUUUUAGGCGUACCAUUGUUGACCACAAAUAAUAGAUUGUUUAGUUUUUGUA
Molecule: long non-coding RNA, 689 nt
Organism: Malus domestica (apple)
Lineage: Eukaryota; Viridiplantae; Streptophyta; Magnoliopsida; Rosales; Rosaceae
Source: RefSeq, a predicted model, not a curated record